This 468-nucleotide ribosomal RNA is filed under the name uncultured bacterium. Its description in RNAcentral is "partial 16S ribosomal RNA". It matches the Rfam family "Bacterial small subunit ribosomal RNA", at positions 28 to 507 of the family's 1533-position model. The record is from RNAcentral.
GACGAACGCUGGCGGCGUGCUUAACACAUGCAAGUCGAACGGAAAGGCCCUGCUUUUGUGGGGUUCUCGAGUGGCGAACGGGUGAGUAACACGUGAGUAACCUGCCCUUGACUUUGGGAUAACUUCAGGAAACUGGGGCUAAUACCGGAUAGGAGCUCCUGCUGCAUGGUGGGGGUUGGAAAGUUUCGGCGGUUGGGGAUGGACUCGCGGCUUAUCAGCUUGUUGGUGGGGUAGUGGCUUACCAAGGCUUUGACGGGUAGCCGGCCUGAGAGGGUGACCGGCCACAUUGGGCCUGAGAUACGGACCAGACUCCUACGGGAGGCAGCAGUGGGGAAUAUUGCACAAUGGGCGGAAGCCUGAUGCAGCAACGCCGCGUGCGGGAUGACGGCCUUCGGGUUGUAAACCGCUUUCGCCUGUGACGAAGCGUGAGUGACGGUAAUGGGUAAAGAAGCACCGGCUAACUACGUG